GAGGAGAAAGCCGAAAAUCCCGAAAAGAGUAGGCG
Molecule: non-coding RNA, 35 nt
Filed under: unclassified sequences
Description: DUF805b RNA
Rfam family: DUF805b RNA
About the family: Bacteroidetes, Chlorobi (1 example), Proteobacteria.
Source: RNAcentral